RNAcentral lists this non-coding RNA (25 nucleotides) under Rattus norvegicus (Norway rat). The record is from RNAcentral. Lineage: Eukaryota; Metazoa; Chordata; Mammalia; Rodentia; Muridae.
UUGUAUUCAAUUUGUAGACGGGUGG